GUCAGCAGCCAUAUCACCCUGCAACUCACAACUAGCAACCCACUGAAGCUAAGCAGGUGUGAGCCUGGUCAGUACCUGGAUGGGAGACCUCCUGGGAAAAACUAAGGUUGCUGCUGGAA
This is a ribosomal RNA of Lepisosteus oculatus (spotted gar), 119 nucleotides long. NCBI's taxonomy places the organism in Eukaryota, Metazoa, Chordata, Actinopteri, Semionotiformes, Lepisosteidae. The record is from Ensembl.